Molecule: ribosomal RNA, 483 nt
Filed under: uncultured bacterium
Lineage: Bacteria
Description: bacterial SSU rRNA
Rfam family: Bacterial small subunit ribosomal RNA
Source: RNAcentral
GAUGAACGCUAGCGGCAGGCUUAAUACAUGCAAGUCGAGGGGCAUCAAGGUACACGAAAGUGUAUUGUUGGCGACCGGCGGACGGGUGAGUAAUAGGUAGGUAACCUACCUCAUACUGAGGCAUAGCUGGGAGAAAUUCCAGGUAAUUCCUCAUGAGGUUAUAUGACACAUGUGAUAUAAUCAAAGGUAUCGCAAGGUACUGGUAUGAGAUGGGCUUACUGACCAUUAGCUAGUUGGUGAGAUAAGAGCUCACCAAGGCGAAGAUGGUUAGGGGUUUGAGAGAGAGAUCCCCCAAUUGGAACUGAGAUACGGUCCAGACUCCUACGGGAGGCAGCAGUAGGGAAUAUUGGGCAAUGGCGAAGCCUGACCCAGCCAUGCCGCGUGAAGGAAGACGGCCUUAUGGGUUGUAAACUUCUUUACUAUGCGACUAACUAGAUUUACGAGAUAAUUCUAUAGAAUGUAGCAUAGACAAAAAGCACCGGA